RNAcentral lists this small nuclear RNA (104 nucleotides) under Vulpes vulpes (red fox). The record is from RNAcentral. Lineage: Eukaryota; Metazoa; Chordata; Mammalia; Carnivora; Canidae.
GUGUUCACUUCAGCAGCACAUACACUAAAAAUUCAAACUAUACAGAAAUUAGCAUGGCCCCUGUGCAAGGAUGACACACAAAUUCAUUAAGGUUCUAUAUGUUA